UACGGGGGGGGCAAGCGUUGUUCGGAAUUACUGGGCGUAAAGGGCUCGUAGGUGGCCAACUAAGUCAGCUGUGAAAGCCCCGGGCUCAACCUGGGAAUUGCGGUUGAAACUGGCGAACUAGAAUCUGGCAGAGGGGGGUGGAAUUCCACGUGUAGCAGUGAAAUGCGUAGAGAUCCGGAAGAACACCGGUGGCGAAGGCAAUCCCCUGGGCCUGCACUGACGCUCAUGCACGAAAGCGUGGGGAGCAAACAGG
This 253-nucleotide ribosomal RNA is filed under the name uncultured bacterium. RNAcentral's name for it is "partial 16S ribosomal RNA". It matches the Rfam family "Bacterial small subunit ribosomal RNA", at positions 524 to 776 of the family's 1533-position model. The record is from RNAcentral.